UCCGUAGGCGGAUUGAUAAGUCAGAGGUGAAAUCCCACAGCUUAACUGUGGAACUGCCUUUGAAACUGUUAGUCUUGAGUUAUAUGGAAGUAGAUAGAAUGUGUAGUGUAGCGGUGAAAUGCAUAGAGAUUACACAGAAUACCGAUUGCGAAGGCAGUCUACUACGUAUAUACUGACGCUAAUGGACGAAAGCGUGGAGAGCGAACAGGAUUAGAUACCCUGGUAGUCC
RNAcentral lists this ribosomal RNA (229 nucleotides) under uncultured bacterium. RNAcentral describes it as "partial 16S ribosomal RNA". It matches the Rfam family "Bacterial small subunit ribosomal RNA", at positions 568 to 796 of the family's 1533-position model. The record is from RNAcentral.